GGAAUAUUGCACAAUGGGGGAAACCCUGAUGCAGCGACGCCGCGUGAGUGAAGAAGUAUUUCGGUACGUAAAGCUCUAUCAGCAGGGAAGAAAAAAAGUCCUUUGGACUUUGGACGGUACCUGACCAAGAAGCCCCGGCUAACUACGUGCCAGCAGCCGCGGUAAUACGUAGGGGGCAAGCGUUAUCCGGAUUUACUGGGUGUAAAGGGAGCGUAGACGGCCAGACAAGUCUGAAGUGAAAAUCCAGCGCUUAACGUUGGAAGUGCUUUGGAAACUGCCGGGCUGGAGUGCAGGAGGGGCAGGCGGAAUUCCUAGUGUAGCGGUGAAAUGCGUAGAUAUUAGGAGGAACACCAGUGGCGAAGGCGGCCUGCUGGACUGCAACUGACGUUGAGGCUCGAAGGCGUGGGGAGCA
This 412-nucleotide ribosomal RNA is filed under the name uncultured bacterium. Its description in RNAcentral is "bacterial SSU rRNA". It matches the Rfam family "Bacterial small subunit ribosomal RNA", at positions 358 to 770 of the family's 1533-position model. The record is from RNAcentral.